CCUGACACUGAAUGCUCAAAAACCUCACACUUGAAAAAUCACACCUGUGAUCUCUCCAAGCUCUGUAAAUCCUUAAGAUUUGAAAAUGAAACAACUCUCAAGCCAUGAAAUUGAAAUUCCCUUCACCUGCAUGAAAUCAUGCUGAACGGCCAUGCAUGGAGACAGGCAGGGCAGGGGCUGCCCAGCCAGCUGGAGAGGAGGCACGCCAGGAAGUCCAGUAAAUGCUUCUAAGCUGAGUUAAGCUUUGUGUUGCAACUGGAUUACCAAGAAGUCCAUUAGCGGUCCUGCAAAGGCAUCCAGACUUGAUGAGGAUGACAAGCAUCUUUUUUACCUCGUGGAGUGGCUGAGAUUGCCACUGCCUGCAAGGUCUCCUUGACAAGUAUGGAAAGGACAGCCACACUAGCUAUAGAGAUUCCUUUUUAACUGAGGUGUAAUCAGUCUGAGUAAUGGAAAAAGAAUCAAGCAUCAUCUACAGGAACAGAGAGUACUACAAUACUUACAACAUGGUAGUGCCUGGUUCCUGAAUCAUUUGUGGUGCACCUGCCAAAGAAAAUGUUAAAUGGAUAGGUGUGAUAACUAAUGCUUAGAGUAUAUCAAAUAUAUCCCUUCUACAGUAUACAUGACCUUCGCAUUCUGUACAGGAGUCUUUGCUCCAUCCAGUUACCAGAGAUAUUUAAAUUUAGAAAGGUAAAUUUUCUUAAGUCUUUGUAGGGUUAGAAAUUCCAUUUCCAUGAAAAACCGUGCCUCUAUAUGGAAGUUCUAGGCCCAAUUUACUAAGAGUUCAUGACACUAUGAUCAAAAACCAGCAGCCUAUAAG
This is a long non-coding RNA of Cygnus olor (mute swan), 817 nucleotides long. RefSeq lists it as uncharacterized. Lineage: Eukaryota; Metazoa; Chordata; Aves; Anseriformes; Anatidae. The transcript has 5 exons. The record is from RefSeq and is a predicted model, not a curated record.